Oncorhynchus keta (chum salmon) is the source of this 345-nucleotide long non-coding RNA. RefSeq lists it as uncharacterized. Lineage: Eukaryota; Metazoa; Chordata; Actinopteri; Salmoniformes; Salmonidae. The record is from RefSeq and is a predicted model, not a curated record. The transcript is spliced from 3 exons.
AGAGAGGUAAGGGACCAGCUCAGGGACCAGCUACACUAUUCACAGCCCUGUGUAAUGUUCUAUAUAAGAGAGGUAAGGGACCAGCUACACUAUUCACAGCCCUGUGUAAUGUUCUAUAUAAGAGAGGUAAGGGACCAGCUACACUAUUCACAGCCCUGUGUAAUGUUCUAUAUAAGAGAGGUAAGGGACCAGCUACACUAUUCACAGCCCUGUGUAAUGUUCUAUAUAAGAGAGGUAAGAGACCAGCUACACUAUUCACAGCCCUGUGUAAUGUUCUAUAUAAGAGAGGUAAGGGACCAGCUACACUAUUCACAGCCCUGUGUAAUGUUCUAUAUAAGAGAGGGA